This is a small nucleolar RNA of Ailuropoda melanoleuca (giant panda), 129 nucleotides long. The record is from RefSeq and is a predicted model, not a curated record. NCBI's taxonomy places the organism in Eukaryota, Metazoa, Chordata, Mammalia, Carnivora, Ursidae.
AUUAGAAUCAAAGAUGCAGCUGCUUUCACAUAGCAACAGGAGUCAAAAAAGAGCCGAAAGUGACAGUUUUCCUGUUCGACCACUGUUCCGUUCUGUAACUGAUUUAUGACAUUUUGGGAAAACACAGCU